GUGGGCCCUCGAAGUCCAGUCGCGGGGGAUUCAGUCGGCGGUGCCCGAGGACGCCUAGCGGCCCACGAUGCGGACCCGUGAGCGGGCCGCGCCGCAUGGCGGUGACUUCGGCGCAGCCGACGCAUUUCCUCCGGCGCGUAGGACGCCGCAACCGGUCGGGUCGAUGCGAGAGUCGGCCGUGAGGUCGGACAACGGCAGGUGGAUCGGCGGCGUCGCGCAUCCGCGUGUUUCGCCAGCCGGUUCCUAGAGCCAGUCCGUCCGUGGCGCGACACCCGACCGAGGUCGAAGUUCCCGAUCCCGGGAACACGUUGUAUCUCCGCCCUCCCCAUGGAGCGGGGGCCUCCGCAAGCUGCACCCGUGGCGGGGAACCACCCAUGAGGUGUGGUCUCUGCCCGGGGGAGCGGCCGCAGCGGUGUGCCUUCCCGCGGUGGUGGCGCGGAGGUUGGCGGCGAGUAGGUCGGUCACCCACCCGACCCGUCUUGAAACACGGACCAAGGAGUCUAACAUGUGCGCGAGUCAAUGGGUCUUGUUCAGGCCCAGAGGCGCAAUGAAAGUGAAGGCGGCCGUCUGACGACGUGCCGCCGUGUUGGGACCCCCCGUCCUCCGCGGCGGGGGAGCACCAACGACCCGUCCCGUCCGGCUCGCCGGUGGGGCGGAGUCGGAGCGUACACGUUGGGACCCGAAAGAUGGUGAACUA
This 697-nucleotide ribosomal RNA is filed under the name Scytodes velutina. RNAcentral describes it as "partial large subunit ribosomal RNA". The stretch from base 491 to 697 matches the Rfam family "Eukaryotic large subunit ribosomal RNA", at positions 665 to 833 of the family's 3401-position model. Lineage: Eukaryota; Metazoa; Arthropoda; Arachnida; Araneae; Scytodidae. The record is from RNAcentral.